RNAcentral lists this ribosomal RNA (253 nucleotides) under uncultured bacterium. Its description in RNAcentral is "partial 16S ribosomal RNA". It matches the Rfam family "Bacterial small subunit ribosomal RNA", at positions 524 to 776 of the family's 1533-position model. The record is from RNAcentral.
UACGAAGGGGGCGAGCGUUGUUCGGAUUUACUGGGCGUAAAGGGCGCGUAGGCGGCCUGCUAAGUCGAACGUGAAAUCCCUGGGCUCAACCCAGGAACUGCGUCCGAUACUGGUUGGCUUGAAUCCGGGAGAGGGAUGUGGAAUUCCAGGUGUAGCGGUGAAAUGCGUAGAUAUCUGGAGGAACACCGGUGGCGAAGGCGACAUCCUGGACCGGUAUUGACGCUGAGGCGCGAAAGCCAGGGGAGCAAACGGG